Molecule: unclassified non-coding RNA, 525 nt
Filed under: Hevea brasiliensis (rubber tree)
Lineage: Eukaryota; Viridiplantae; Streptophyta; Magnoliopsida; Malpighiales; Euphorbiaceae
Source: RNAcentral
AAGGUGCUUCAUAACUCUUUUUCUUUUUACCUCCAGUCUAGAUUUCAUCUAUUAAAAUUUAAAACUACGUCAUCUUCAAACAUUAGGUAUCAACAGAAGUUAAGAAUGUUAGGUCACAAUUUCCAUGAUUUAUCAGCCAAAUUCAAAAAGCAAAACUCACAUCAAUCAAACCUUAUUAUCUAUCUAAUUUGUUGCAGCUGGAUCAUUUAUAGCUAGUCCCAAGCCUAAAUUAAAGGGGAAAGGAUGACAAUUGGCAUAAACUUUUGUCCCAUCUAUGACAUGGAUCCAAGUAGGUUCUAAGCAAAAGUAAAGUAGAAUGAAUCAAAAUCAAAUCCAAGCUUUUCAUGCCACCACCAAAAGCAUGUCAUUAUUCUGAAAACAAUCUACACAAAAGAAAAAGAUAAAGAAAAUAAUGUAUUAAAUAUUUUACUUAUAUUGUGCAGAACUAGAACCUGUAAAAGCAUCGUGAGCUAUAAUGAGCACUUAGCAAGUUUAAUCAAGUUAGCAAGUUUAAUCAAGUUGGAU